CGCAUCUGUGCAUGCAGCAUAUCAAUAAGCGGAGGAAAAGAAACUAACAAGGAUUCCCUUAGUAACGGCGAGUGAAGCGGGAAGAGCUCAAAUUUGAAAUCUUCAAGGCUUUACCUUGACGAAUUGUAGUUUAAAGAAGUGUUUUCUGUUGAAGUUUUGGUAAAAGUUCUUUGGAAUAGGACAUCAUAGAGGGUGAGAAUCCCGUAUUUGACCAUUAUUUUCAGCUGUGUGAUACACUUUCAAAGAGUCGGAUUGUUUGGGAAUGCAGUCCAAAAUGGGUGGUAAAUUUCAUCUAAAGCUAAAUAUUGGCGAGAGACCGAUAGCGAACAAGUACCGUGAGGGAAAGAUGAAAAGAACUUUGAAAAGAGAGUUAAACAGUACGUGAAAUUGUCAAAAGGGAAGCGUUCGACACCAGUGUUGUUUUCUCGAAAAUCAAUUAAAAAGAGUUAGAUUUUGUUGUGUAUUGACCUUAACAGCUUGCAUUUCAAUUUUCUUGCUUUUUUUAAUGCACUUUUCGUUUAACAAGUCAACAUCAGUUUCUUUUGUUGUAAAAAGGUCAUUGGAAGGUGGCUUUCUUUUCGGAGAAAGUGUUUAUAGCCUUUGACUCCUGCAAUCGGAGAGACUGAGGUCUGCAGCGUAGAUCCUUCGGGGUUAGAUACAUUUGUGCUAAGUUAUAGCUUUUUAUAGACAACUUGUUGACUAUGAUUAGUCUUGUAGCUUACUCGCUUAUGCUAUUUUACCUACGCUUAGGAUGUUGACACACGCGCGUGCUCG
RNAcentral lists this ribosomal RNA (774 nucleotides) under uncultured Neocallimastigales. RNAcentral's name for it is "partial large subunit ribosomal RNA". It matches the Rfam family "Eukaryotic large subunit ribosomal RNA", at positions 26 to 635 of the family's 3401-position model. The record is from RNAcentral. Lineage: Eukaryota; Fungi; Neocallimastigomycota; Neocallimastigomycetes; Neocallimastigales.